UCCAGCCUUGGGAACAGGAAGGCCAGGAGCAGGUUCACUCUGUUUGAGACACUGCUUCUCCUUUGAGAAGUCAUUUGGGACCCAUGGACACAGGUGUGACUUCUUCCUUGUCCUAAAAGCCUUCUGCACAGUACUGAGUUCCUCCAAGGCCUAUUCCCCUUUCCUUUCAGCCUCUCCCCAGCUUGGCCAAAAGACCACAGUCUCUGUAAAGUAGAAGGAUGGCAAAGAGAUGGUGUUUGACCGCAAUGCUGUCUCCUGUGACUCAAUCUCCACAUUCCUGUCUUGGAGGUAGACUCUGGCCAGGUUUCAGGCUCGUGGAGCUGCUUGAAGGUUCAAAUGAACGGUGACUAAAGAGUUCACAGAGAGCAUCUGUACAAGGAGUAACAGAACAUGACAUGUCUCUUUGGACCCUACUCAAACUUUUUGAGAACUCAGUUCAGAGUGGGGGGGACAACAAGAAUUUCAAAGCCCAAGGGACCUUCCUUUGCCUUUUCCAGCCAGCACCCCAGCUUGUGGCUUGAGAGUGACCCAGGUUCUGCUCUGAGUCCUGUCAGUGGCCAGAAGCCUCAGCAUGUUACUUCUGAACCCCAAAGUCUCACUGGUCUUUGUUUACACCAAAUAGUACAUUCACAACAAACUGCCUGUGCAGCUGCCUUCGGUUUUGAAAGUUAAAUGUGAGCAGAGGCUGGCCCCAGAGUCAGAGCUGCACCGCACUGCUCUUCUAGGUAAGCCCAAGUUUAUGGGUUUGGGGACAGAAUUUCCUCAUUCUGGGCUCCGUUUUUCUGUAAAGUGGGAGUUAAAAUACUCAUUUCUUUAGAAAACAUGUGAGUUGGGUGUAGUUGCACACACCUUUAAUCCCAGCACUUGGGAGGCAGAGGCAGACAGAUUUCUGUGAGUUUGAGGCCAGCCUGGUCUACAGAGUGAGUUCCAGGAUAGCCUGGUCUGCAUAUACACAUAUGCAUACAUACAUACAUACAUACAUACAUACAUAUAUACACACAUAUAUGUACUGUGUAUGCUCAGUAUGGUGUCCUAUAAUCUCACCACAUGGGAGGCUGAAGCUGGAGGAUCAGCAUGGCCUCCGUAGAGAGUUCCAGGCCAGUCUGAGCUAUGUGGUGAAACCCUGUCUCAAAACAAAAAUAAAAAACAAAACAACAGCAAAGCCCAACAAUAUUGUGAAACACUUUUUUCCCUAACAGCUAAAAGCAAACCAAAUAAAGAUUAUUGUCAAAAGACAUUGUUCAGAAGAUGAACAAUUAACCUAAGACUGGAGAAAAUAUCCAUAAUACAUGUGCUUGGCGUAGGGGGUAGAAGUGAAAUGUAUAAAGAAUGCUUUCUACUCAACAAUAAAAAGAUAGGCCGCUUUGCUGAGACAUGGGCAUCAGAUCUGGACACUUCAACAAAAAGCAGUUUUGUGAAUGGUUAGCAAGCAGACAAGCCCUAAAAGAGGAUCCCAACAUGCUUAGUCACCUAGGAAUUACCUACCGCACAAUCAUGGGAAUGGCCCAAACGGGAAAGUUUGAUGACAUUCGUCUUGGCAAUUGUAAUUUGCACCUGCCAGCAGGAAAUGUCACAUGUAUAACACUUGCCUGCUGGGACUUAUCACAAAGUGUUUGUUUACUCAAGGAGCAUAAGACGGUAGCGAAAAACGGGAAGCAAACUGUAGUUUACACACAAAAUCAUUCUAUUACUCAAAAAUAAACAGGAUUAGUAAAGUAGAGAUACAUUCGACAUGAAUGGAUCUCAAAAAUACUGUGAUGACCAAAAAAAAAAAAAAUGCUUUUUCAAAAGAAAGUGUACUGUAUGAUAUCUUUAUCUGAGGUUGUAGAAAACCUCAGAGGAAAGGAAAAAAUGAUGAAAAAGUGAGAACAGAGUUGUCUCUUGGGGAGUGGUUGGCCAACAGCUGAAGGGAACUUCCUGAGGCAGUGAUCCUUGUGUGUCAGAAUGGUGGCCUCAUGGCUAUGCAUAAAUUAAAUAAGAAGUCUGGUGAGCUAUACUCUUAAGAUUUGUUCAUUCUUGUGUACAUGAAUUAUAUAAGCCCAUAAAGCAAUAUUAAAACCACAAUCUGACAUAUUGUUCUCCUGUUUGAAAACAGGAAAGUAUAUACCUACUCAAACUGACUGCUCAGUCACUCACCUGUACUGAACAGACCCAUGGGCAGAGUCAGUUCUGUCCUGA
This is a long non-coding RNA of Peromyscus californicus insignis, 2178 nucleotides long. RefSeq lists it as uncharacterized. The record is from RefSeq and is a predicted model, not a curated record. The transcript is spliced from 5 exons. Lineage: Eukaryota; Metazoa; Chordata; Mammalia; Rodentia; Cricetidae.